UAGGGAGACCAUCUGACAGCAGACCGAACCUAAAUAUUAGGUCAAUGUCAGUCAUCCCUGGUCGUUCGAGAUAAUAGAGUCAAAGCUUUCAAACUAUUAACUGGUUCAGAACAUGGGCUAUUAGCUCAGUUGGUUAGAGCGCACCCCUGAUAAGGGUGAGGUCCCUGGUUCAAAUCCAGGAUGGCCCACCUGGAAAACAAGUAAGGAAAUUUAAGUAAUGAGUCAUGAAUGAUACAUCUAUUCAGAACUCAGGCACUCAAAAAUCCCAGCUAAUUAGUGGGGGUAUAGCUCAGUUGGUAGAGCGCCUGCCUUGCACGCAGGAAGUCAGCGGUACGAGUCCGCUUACCUCCACUCUCAUUCACCCAACCAAAAAUCAUCAUACACUCAGAAUAUAGAAAUCAGCACCCUAACCGGCUCUUUGGGCUUGUGGGAAUGCUGGAGUCUCGACUCUAGUCAGAACCUUGAAAACUGCAUAGCAAUUAAGUCAUCAAUCAGCAGGUAAGUCUUCCGAGUCAUCGGAAUAUCUUACUCAGACCAUCAAAAAAUCAAGU
RNAcentral lists this transfer RNA (551 nucleotides) under uncultured cyanobacterium. RNAcentral describes it as "16S-23S ribosomal RNA intergenic spacer". The stretch from base 115 to 188 matches the Rfam family "tRNA". Lineage: Bacteria; Bacillati; Cyanobacteriota. The record is from RNAcentral.